Molecule: ribosomal RNA, 528 nt
Filed under: Triticum aestivum (bread wheat)
Lineage: Eukaryota; Viridiplantae; Streptophyta; Magnoliopsida; Poales; Poaceae
Description: partial small subunit ribosomal RNA
Source: RNAcentral
AUGUUGGCCUCCAUCGGGCAGCCGCUCACCGACUCCAAGUUCAAUUCCUUCAUCGUCAAUGGCCUUGACGAGGAGUAUGAUGCCUUGGUCGAGAUCAUCAACGAGCGGGGCAACUCGACUCCCAUGAUGGCGCAUGAGGUCUUCUCCCGACUCGUCCUCACUGAGCAGCGAGUCGAGUCGCGUCGCUCCAAGAGCAGCCACGGGUCUCUCUCUGCAAACGCCGCCACCAAGGGUGGCCGCAACCCCUCUUCGUCCAAAGCUCUUGCGGGGCCAUCACCGCCGCCCGCCUCGGCCCCCCCUCCAUCCGCAACUUUACCAGGGGCUGGUGGUCGGCAUGUGUGCCAAAUUUGUGGCAUUGAGGGGCACUGGGCCUCUAAGUGUCAUAAACGCUUCCAGAAAAGCUUUCUUGGCCUCGGCAAUGAUGGCAAGGACAUGCGCAAUUUUGCGCGUCAGGUUGCCAUGGCAGACCACCCGGCGUCGACAAAGCAACAAGGGCACACUCAAUCAUACUCCAAUGACCCGUACUAG